AUACGUGUAUAUUAUAAUGUAGACUAUUAUAUAUAAUAGGCGUUUUUUAAUCAAAAUUUCAGACGAAGAACACGGUAUGCAUGUACAAGUCAGGAGUUUCGUAAAAAAAUAAUAACACUAUAUUAAAAUUAAAUCAUGUACACAUAUCAAUAUGUAUAAUGUAUAUCAAGAAAUAUGAUAGGAAAUGUAUUUAUAUUGAAAUUCGAACAAGAUAAAAUGUCUUGUUUAUUGCUGACCUUUGAUUAACACACGUGAACAACUGUGUGCGAUAUAAAAAAAUUUCGAUAUCGUACUCUUUGGCACGAAGCAGUCUCUCUUAUUUUCUCUUUCUUUUUUUUCUAAUAAGAUUUGUGGGGGAAUUUGUGGUUUCUCAGAUGAUGCAAUCGAAUCGUUUAUGAACAAUAUACGCGUUGAGGUGAACCUUCCGGAUGGGGCUUCGAGUUGAAAAUCCUAUUAAUCGUAUAAGUAGAAGGUAUAUAUACCUACACAUAUAUACCGUUGAGCGAAGUCGUUAAAAAUAAAUUGUUAAAUAAGCGAAUGUGAUAUUCGUUUAGGAGAACAUCACUCGAAUGUGAGACAGCGUGUAAUAAAUGUAUGAUAAAUUGCACUUUGUAUAUACAUUCUCGUAUCUGCGACUAAUACACGCGAAGAUUAUUUAAUUUUAAUUGUACCAUUUCGUAAUAUGGCGCAACAUUAUCUGUAGCCGCCGGUAAUCGCAAACACGACGAGAGCUCGAUGGAUUUGUGUUCGAACAUAUGCUCGUAUUUUCAUUUUUAUUGCUUAACACAGCUCCUAAUUAAAAUAUGACGAAUCGUGAUUAGAGUUGCAACAUUUUUCACCAAAAUAUCCUUUCUUUAACUUUAUUUCUAAAUUAAUAAGUUAUUUUAUUUCCAUUGAAAAUAAAUUAUAUUUGUGUUUUAUAAAAAUUGAAAUCUAUUUAGAAUUCUUUUUUUUUUUUAAUUAUUCUAUAAAUAAAAAAACUUUUAUUAACGCGUUAACUGCUCAUGACAUCACGUUGGCGUCGUGGCCUAGUUGUUUCCGGAAGCGGGUGACGCCACGUUGCGCAAAUUGUUUUUAAAUGAAAUCAAAGAAAACAAAUUUCAGUCAUAAUGAAAGGCUACGAGAUUCGACGCAGCAAACAACGUAUUAAGAGUUCACUCGAAUUAAAACCUUGUUACUUGUUUCUUUUAGUUCAAAAGAAAAAGUAGACUUCAGUAAAGCAUCUAACAUAUAUUCAAACUGUAUUUUAAAACGGGACAGACAUUCCAAACCAGCUAAUACCGAUUCGAACACCACUCUUCUUUAAAUGUAGAUAGACCAGGCCGUUAAUCAGUCGGUGCAACACCUGCGACGAAAACAAUGACAAUUUAUAUUGAUGACGAUCGGAAUGCGAGUGCCCUGAUGCGUGAAACGACGCGGCCGACCAGCUGUCUGAUUUUGACGCAACCACCAACGACAGCCGAAUGGUCCAAGGUCAAAGAAUAAGGAAACAACAGGCUACCCGUUAUUCUAUCUUACGUCCACGACUAAAAACCCAGGUAGAUGAUCCCAGUAGGACCAAAUGAUCCUUUGUAAAGAACCAACAACAUCAACUACGUAUAUUAUACACGGAAAUGGUCUUAUAGAACGAUUCCUAAAUGGUUAAGGUAGUGUGGUUUAGAGCAAAAUUUACCACUCUGCAAGAGCUUGUUAAAACACUGUUUUCUUUUUAAUAAAAUAAUUUAAAUUUAUAAUUUGGUGAUUCAAAUUCAAAUUCAUUAUUACUAUAAAUUCAAAUGUUACUACCAAAAUAUUCGAAUACUUAUGAAGAAUAGCAUAGAAAGAGGUAACACGAAAGUGACACAAUUUUUUCAAAAAUUGAACGCAAACUCGAAGAUGAAGUUAUGAAGCUACAUCAGUAGUAACGUGCGAGCUUACUCGAAAAGAGAAGAAAAGAAAAGAAAAGAAGAGAAAAAGGAAGGGCGUCAGACAGAGGCAUUAUUGCCGUCUGAGGUUGGUCCCUUUGACUUUAUUCAUGAGUAAUACUCGCAUACAUGUGUGUACGUAACAUGAGUUUGCGGUGCGCAGUGGGUAUGUGGAGCGUAAGAGGUCAACAGAGGAACCAUUGUUGUCUGCUGCCAGCCUCCACAACUGAAAGGCGUUUCAAGACUGUACAAACUAUUUUCGUAGUUUAGCUGUCUACUAUAGUACGAUAAACAAAAAUCAACAAAAUAAAAAAAAGAAAUGUUCAUCGCUGUAUUAUAUGAGAAUGGCAUAACGAAUUGCAAAAUUGUAAUCUCGACAAUAAAUUUCUUUUUUAUCCUACUA
This is a long non-coding RNA of Bombus huntii, 2307 nucleotides long. RefSeq lists it as uncharacterized. NCBI's taxonomy places the organism in Eukaryota, Metazoa, Arthropoda, Insecta, Hymenoptera, Apidae. The transcript is spliced from 2 exons. The record is from RefSeq and is a predicted model, not a curated record.